RNAcentral lists this ribosomal RNA (537 nucleotides) under Yamadazyma friedrichii. RNAcentral's name for it is "[Candida] friedrichii partial large subunit ribosomal RNA". It matches the Rfam family "Eukaryotic large subunit ribosomal RNA", at positions 82 to 657 of the family's 3401-position model. The record is from RNAcentral. Lineage: Eukaryota; Fungi; Ascomycota; Pichiomycetes; Serinales; Debaryomycetaceae.
AGUAGCGGCGAGUGAAGCGGCAAUAGCUCAAAUUUGAAAUCUGGCGCCUUCGGUGUCCGAGUUGUAAUUUGAAGAAGGUAUCUUUGGUUUUGGCUCUUGUCUAUGUUCCUUGGAACAGGACGUCACAGAGGGUGAGAAUCCCGUGCGAUGAGAUGCCCAAUUCCAUGUAAAGUUCCUUCGACGAGUCGAGUUGUUUGGGAAUGCAGCUCUAAGUGGGUGGUAAAUUCCAUCUAAAGCUAAAUAUUGGCGAGAGACCGAUAGCGAACAAGUACUGUGAAGGAAAGAUGAAAAGAACUUUGAAAAGAGAGUGAAAAAGUACGUGAAAUUGUUGAAAGGGAAGGGCUUGAGAUUAGACUUGGAAUUUUCCAUUUUUGGAGCUUUCCGGGCCAGCAUCAGUUUGGAUGGCAGGAUAAUUGCGUUGGAAAGUAACACUACUUCGGUGGUGUAUUAUAGACUUCGUCGAUACUGCCUAUCUAGACUGAGGACCGCGUCUUUGACUAGGAUGCUGGCGUAAUGAUCUUAAGCCGCCCGUCUUGA